This 77-nucleotide transfer RNA is filed under the name Magnetococcales bacterium. RNAcentral's name for it is "tRNA-Pro". It matches the Rfam family "tRNA". From Rfam's summary of the family: Transfer RNA (tRNA) molecules are approximately 80 nucleotides in length. Lineage: Bacteria; Pseudomonadati; Pseudomonadota; Magnetococcia; Magnetococcales. The record is from RNAcentral.
CGGGGUGUGGCUCAGCCUGGUAGAGCACUGCGUUCGGGACGCAGGGGUCGUGAGUUCAAAUCUCGCCACCCCGACCA